Molecule: ribosomal RNA, 460 nt
Filed under: uncultured Treponema sp.
Lineage: Bacteria; Pseudomonadati; Spirochaetota; Spirochaetia; Treponematales; Treponemataceae
Description: partial 16S ribosomal RNA
Rfam family: Bacterial small subunit ribosomal RNA
Source: RNAcentral
ACGGGAGGCAGCAGCUAAGAAUAUUCCGCAAUGGACGAAAGUCUGACGGAGCGACGCCGCGUGGAUGAUGAAGGUCGGAAGAUUGUAAAGUCCUUUUAUAACUGAGGAAUAAGCAGGGUGAGAGAAACGCAUUGUGGUGACUGUAGGUUAUGAAUAAGCAACGGCUAAUUACGUGCCAGCAGCCGCGGUAACACGUAAGGUGCGAGCGGUGUUCGGAAUUAUUGGGCGUAAAGGGCAUGUAGGCGGUUUUGCAAGCUUGAUGUGAAAGGCAGGAGCUUAACUCCUGGACUGCGUUGAGAACUGCAUGACUAGAGUCACUGAGGGGCAAUCAGAAUUCCUGGUGUAGGGGUGAAAUCUGUAGAUAUCAGGAAGAAUACCAAUGGCGAAGGCAGGUUACCAGCAGAUGACUGACGCUGAGGUGCGAAAGUGCGGGGAGCAAACAGGAUUAGAUACCCUGGUA